AACGAACGCUGGCGGCAUGCCUAACACAUGCAAGUCGAACGAGACCUUCGGGUCUAGUGGCGCACGGGUGCGUAACGCGUGGGAACCUGCCCUUAGGUUCGGAAUAACUCCCCGAAAGGGGUGCUAAUACCGGAUAAUGUCUUCGGACCAAAGAUUUAUCGCCUUUGGAUGGGCCCGCGUUGGUUUAGCUAGUUGGUAGGGUAAAAGCCUACCAAGGCGACGAUCCAUAGCUGGUCUGAGAGGAUGGUCAGCCACACUGGGACUGAGACACGGCCCAGACUCCUACGGGAGGCAGCAGUGGGGAAUAUUGGACAAUGGGCUAAAGCCUGAUCCAGCAAUGCCGCGUGAGUGAUGAAGUCCUUAGGGUUGUAAAGCUCUUUUACCCGGGAUGAUAAUGACAGUACCGGGAGAAUAAGCACCGGCUAACUCCGUG
RNAcentral lists this ribosomal RNA (433 nucleotides) under uncultured bacterium. Its description in RNAcentral is "partial 16S ribosomal RNA". It matches the Rfam family "Bacterial small subunit ribosomal RNA", at positions 29 to 507 of the family's 1533-position model. The record is from RNAcentral.